RNAcentral lists this long non-coding RNA (270 nucleotides) under Ananas comosus (pineapple). RNAcentral's name for it is "long non-coding RNA (ACOM_LNC004804)". Lineage: Eukaryota; Viridiplantae; Streptophyta; Magnoliopsida; Poales; Bromeliaceae. The record is from RNAcentral.
AGCCGACCCGAAGAGAGCCCACCUACAUUACAUACGAGGAAUUCUACACUGUCACACUUGCACCACAUCAUCAAUAACAAUCCAAUCACAUUCCUUCUUUUCAAACAAAAGUACAAUAAAAAUAUUUUUUUACAAUCAUGAUGGGACAUAUAUUCUUAAAAGGAUUAAUUUGAUUGGUUUGUUACGCCACGUCACUAAUAUACCCGUUGCAUUCUAGAAUUUUUCCAUACAUACACACAUCCACGGAUCCACCCAACACCCACACUCACU